UGGGGAAUAUUGCACAAUGGGCGCAAGCCUGAUGCAGCCAUGCCGCGUGUAUGAAGAAGGCCUUCGGGUUGUAAAGUACUUUCAGCGGGGAGGAAGGCGAUAAGGUUAAUAACCUUGUCGAUUGACGUUACCCGCAGAAGAAGCACCGGCUAACUCCGUGCCAGCCGCCGCGGUAAUAAGGAGGGGGCAAGCGUUAAUCGGAGUUACUGGGCGUAAAGCGCACGCAGGCGGUCUGUCAAGUCGGAUGUGAAAUCCCCGGGCUCAACCUGGGAACUGCAUUCGAAACUGGCAGGCUAGAGUCUUGUAGAGGGGGGUAGAAUUCCAGGUGUAGCGGUGAAAUGCGUAGAGAUCUGGAGGAAUACCGGUGGCGAAGGCGGCCCCCUGGACAAAGACUGACGCUCAGGUGCGAAAGCGUGGGGAGCAAACA
This 427-nucleotide ribosomal RNA is filed under the name uncultured bacterium. RNAcentral describes it as "partial 16S ribosomal RNA". It matches the Rfam family "Bacterial small subunit ribosomal RNA", at positions 355 to 774 of the family's 1533-position model. The record is from RNAcentral.